UACAGAGGUCUCGAGCGUUGUUCGGAUUCAUUGGGCGUAAAGGGCGCGUAGGCGGCGGGGUAAGUCUGGUGUGAAAUCUCGGAGCUCAACUCCGAAAUUGCACUGGAUACUGCUCUGCUAGAGGGCUGGAGAGGAGAUCGGAAUUCACGGUGUAGCAGUGAAAUGCGUAGAUAUCGUAAGGAAGACCAGUGGCGAAGGCGGGUCUCUGGACAGUUCCUGACGCUGAAGCACGAAGGCCAGGGGAGCAAACGGG
RNAcentral lists this ribosomal RNA (253 nucleotides) under uncultured bacterium. Its description in RNAcentral is "partial 16S ribosomal RNA". It matches the Rfam family "Bacterial small subunit ribosomal RNA", at positions 524 to 776 of the family's 1533-position model. The record is from RNAcentral.